Molecule: transfer RNA, 76 nt
Filed under: Burkholderia sp.
Lineage: Bacteria; Pseudomonadati; Pseudomonadota; Betaproteobacteria; Burkholderiales; Burkholderiaceae
Also listed under: 2 other names
Description: tRNA-Gly(gcc)
Rfam family: tRNA
About the family: Transfer RNA (tRNA) molecules are approximately 80 nucleotides in length.
Source: RNAcentral
GCGGAGGUAGCUCAGUUGGUAGAGCGUGAUCUUGCCAAGGUCGAGGCCGCGGGUUCGAGCCCCGUCCUCCGCUCCA